UUCAGGCCUAACACAUGCAAGUCGAACGAGAAAAUCCUUCGGGAUGAGUACAGUGGCGCACGGGUGAGGAACGCGUAGGUAAUCUACCCUCUGGCGGGGGACAACACUCCGAAAGGAAUGCUAAUACCGCAUAAGACCACACGUACCACGGUACGAGUGGUAAAAGGCGCCUCAAAGCGUCACCAGAGGAUGAGCCUGCGUCCCAUCAGCUAGUUGGUGAGGUAACGGCUUACCAAGGCGAAGACGGGUAGCUGGUCUGAGAGGAUGAUCAGCCACACUGGCACUGGAACACGGGCCAGACUCCUACGGGAGGCAGCAGUGAGGAAUAUUGGGCAAUGGGCGCAAGCCUGACCCAGCCACGCCGCGUGUGUGACGAAGGCCUUCGGGUCGUAAAGCACUGUGGAGAGGGACGAAAACAUGCAGGAGGAAAUGCCUGCGUCUUGACGGUACCUCUUUAGCAAGCACCGGCUAACUCUGUGCCAGCAGCCGCGGUAAUACAGAGGGUGCAAACGUUGCUCGGAUUUACUGGGCGUAAAGCGCGUGUAGGCGGAUACGCAAGUCGGUUGUGAAAUCCCUGGGCUCAACCUAGGAACUGCAUCCGAAACUGUGUGUCUUGAGUAAUGGAGAGGGUGGCGGAAUUCCCGGUGUAGAGGUGAAAUUCGUAGAUAUCGGGAGGAACAUCUGUGGCGAAGGCGGCCACCUGGACAUUUACUGACGCUGAAACGCGAAAGCGUGGGGAGCAAACAGGAUUAGAUACCCUGGUAGUCCACGCCGUAAACGAUGAGAACUAGGUGCAGCGGAUAUUGACCUCUGCUGUGCCGUAGCUAACGCGUUAAGUUCUCCGCCUGGGGAGUACGGCCGCAAGGCUAAAACUCAAAGGAAUUGACGGGGGCCCGCACAAGCAGUGGAGCAUGUGGUUUAAUUCGAAGCAACGCGCAGAACCUUACCAGGGCUAGAAAAACUGAGAAUCCU
Molecule: ribosomal RNA, 972 nt
Filed under: uncultured bacterium
Lineage: Bacteria
Description: bacterial SSU rRNA
Rfam family: Bacterial small subunit ribosomal RNA
Source: RNAcentral